RNAcentral lists this ribosomal RNA (110 nucleotides) under Neogale vison (American mink). Lineage: Eukaryota; Metazoa; Chordata; Mammalia; Carnivora; Mustelidae. The record is from RNAcentral.
GUUUACGGCCAUACCACCCUGAACGCGCCCGAUCUCGUCUGAUCUCGGAAGCUAAGCAGGGUCGGGCCUGGUUAGUACUUGGAUGGGAGAAAUCCAUUAUGGUCUAAAAA